AUUUCUAGCGCUCCGACAUGCCGAGAAGACAAGAGCCUCUAACACUCCUGGAACACUCCCCUUCCUCUUCCCCCUUGUUUCUCAACUCGAAACAUGUGCGGGUCUGAUUUCCAUGCCCUCGGCAAACCACUCCACCGGGAGCUUUUGUGGAAAACUUCAUACUUUUAGCAAUCAUUUGUGGCCGACUAAUUUGCUCCCUAGUUUGAGUUUACAUUCCGGAGUGUGACAUGAUCUAUUUUUGCAGAGAUCCGGAGUGAGAGAGUGCUUACAUGUCAUGUUUGGCCUCCAGACCUGGAGAAAAGAAUGAAGAAAAGAGUUUUAUGGACCUUGAGAGAAACAGCGUGUUCUCCACAGAACAGUUUGCAGGCCCAUCAAUCUGCUUACACAAUGGAAACGCAUGAGUCAAAAGCAUAGCUGACCAGAGGACAUCAAUGGCUUUAUCUUUCACAAGUAUGUAAAAUUGCUAAUGAUCCAAAAAAAUAAAAAGUAAAUGAGGGCUUUCUUAAAGGGAUAGUUCAUCCAAAAAUGAAAAUCUGUCCAUCAUUUAUUCACUUUUAUAUUAUUCCAAACUUUCAAGCUUCAAAAAUGAUUUAAAACACCAAUAAAGUAUCCUAAAUAGUAAUCCAUACAACUUGUGCACUACCUUCCAAGUCUUCCCAAGACUUUGUGUCAUAAAAAGACUCAAAUUUAAAUCAGUUAGUCAGUGAGAUGAACUCAAGAGACAUCAGUUGAUUCAUUGCAAAGAUCUGACACAAAUCAAACAUCUCCAUGUCUCCCAUGAACAUGCAAACUGGAAGACUAAUGUUAGUCUGUCCAUCUGACAAAAUUACGUAUGACUUCAGUAGACUUAGAGUAUAAUACACAAGUUGUGUAGACCACUUUUAUGAUAUAUGUAUGCUGUUUUUGCAUCAUUUUUAAAACUUGAAAGCC
Molecule: long non-coding RNA, 930 nt
Organism: Cyprinus carpio carpio
Lineage: Eukaryota; Metazoa; Chordata; Actinopteri; Cypriniformes; Cyprinidae
Source: Ensembl